RNAcentral lists this ribosomal RNA (301 nucleotides) under uncultured bacterium. RNAcentral describes it as "partial 16S ribosomal RNA". It matches the Rfam family "Bacterial small subunit ribosomal RNA", at positions 509 to 807 of the family's 1533-position model. The record is from RNAcentral.
CAGUAGCCGCGGGAACACGAACCGUGCGAACGUUAUUCGGAAUCACUGGGCUUAAAGCGCGUGUAGGCGGGCCGCCACGUCGGCUGCUGAAAUCCCCCGGCUCAACCGGGGAAGUGGCACCGAUACGAGCGGCCUCGAGGGGGGUAGGGGGCACUGGAACUUCCGGUGGAGCGGUGAAAUGCGUUGAGAUCGGAAGGAACGCCCGUGGCGAAAGCGAGUGCCUGGACCCUUUCUGACGCUGAGACGCGAAAGCCAGGGGAGCGAACGGGAUUAGAUACCCGAGUAGUCCCUGUCUCUUAUA